This 150-nucleotide microRNA precursor is filed under the name Paramuricea clavata. The record is from RNAcentral. Lineage: Eukaryota; Metazoa; Cnidaria; Anthozoa; Malacalcyonacea; Plexauridae.
UAUCAGACUUGUUGCAAGGUUGUUCCAACAAGUCCGAUACAGUCAUGAUAUAACAAUAUUGUUACAACCUUGCGUCAUCAACCUUGGAACAUUCUUGUUAUAUCAUGAAUGUAUCAGACUUGUUAGAACAACUUCGCUACAAGUCUGAUA